Molecule: ribosomal RNA, 484 nt
Filed under: uncultured bacterium
Lineage: Bacteria
Description: partial 16S ribosomal RNA
Rfam family: Bacterial small subunit ribosomal RNA
Source: RNAcentral
AUUGAACGCUGGCGGCAGGCCUAACACAUGCAAGUCGAGCGGAUGAAGGGAGCUUGCUCCUGGAUUCAGCGGCGGACGGGUGAGUAAUGCCUAGGAAUCUGCCUGGUAGUGGGGGAUAACGUCCGGAAACGGGCGCUAAUACCGCAUACGCCCUGAUGGAGAAAGUGGGGGAUCUUCGGACCUCACGCUAUCAGAUGAGCCUACGGCGGAUUAGCUAGUUGGUGGGGUAAAGGCCUACCAAGGCGACGAUCCGUAACUGGCCUGAGAGGAUGAUCAGUCACACUGGAACUGAGAGACGGUCCAGACUACUACGGGAGGCAGGAGUGGGGAAUAUUGGACAAUGGGCGAAAGUCUGAUCCAGCCAUGACGCGUGUGUGAAGAAGGUCUUCGGAUUGUAAAGCACUUUAAGUUGGGAGGAAGGGCAGUAAGUUAAUACCUUGCUGUUUUGACGUUACCAACAGAAUAAGCACCGGCUAACUUCGUG